RNAcentral lists this long non-coding RNA (641 nucleotides) under Mytilus galloprovincialis (Mediterranean mussel). Lineage: Eukaryota; Metazoa; Mollusca; Bivalvia; Mytilida; Mytilidae. The record is from RNAcentral.
GACCACUGCCCUUUCCUCGAUCUUGAUAUCUAUAUCACUAACGGAAAGCUUAAUACUAAAAUUUAUGAUAAAAGAGAUCAUUUUUCAUUUCCUAUCGUUAAUUAUCCAUUUUUAUAUGGUGACGUUCCAUUGUCACCAUCUUACGGUGUUUUUAUAUCUCAACUUGUACGAUUAACUCGUGUAUGUAACAAUGUUUUAGAUUUUAACGAGAGAAAUUUGUGUAUUACUGAAAAAUUAUUACACCAGGGUUUUCGAUAUCACAAACUAGUCAAAACAUUUACUAAAUUUUAUCAUCGGUAUAAGGACAUCAUUCGUAAAUAUAGCUCAACAUGCAGACUUCUUAUAAGUUUAAGUAUUUCACAUCCUAUUUUUUAUGGAAAUAUUCUUUUUAAAGCACAAAAAUGUCAGUAUUCACCUCAGAAACUAACAAAACCUUUCAAUAGACUUAUCAAGAAGGGAUAUAGUUACGAUACUGUUGUCAGGUCACUAAAGAUUGCUUAUUUUGGCGUUAAUAUUGAUUCACUUAUAUGUUAGUGACCUUCUGCUGUUGUUUUUUCUAUGGUCGGGUUGUUGUCUCUUUGACACAUUCCCCAUUUCCAUUCUCAAUUUUAUUUAAACAUUUCAAAAGUCAUCUGGGGGCA